This 492-nucleotide ribosomal RNA is filed under the name uncultured bacterium. Its description in RNAcentral is "partial 16S ribosomal RNA". It matches the Rfam family "Bacterial small subunit ribosomal RNA", at positions 29 to 507 of the family's 1533-position model. The record is from RNAcentral.
AGUGAACGCUGGCGGUAGGCCUAACACAUGCAAGUCGAACGGCAGCACAGUAAGAGCUUGCUCUUACGGGUGGCGAGUGGCGGACGGGUGAGGAAUACAUCGGAAUCUACUUUUUCGUGGGGGAUAACGUAGGGAAACUUACGCUAAUACCGCAUACGACCUACGGGUGAAAGCAGGGGAUCUUCGGACCUUGCGCGAUUGAAUGAGCCGAUGUCGGAUUAGCUAGUUGGUGGGGUAAAGGCCCACCAAGGCGACGAUCCGUAGCUGGUCUGAGAGGAUGAUCAGCCACACUGGAACUGAGACACGGUCCAGACUCCUACGGGAGGCAGCAGUGGGGAAUAUUGGACAAUGGGCGCAAGCCUGAUCCAGCUAUACCGCGUGGGUGAAGAAGGCCUUCGGGUUGUAAAGCCCUUUUGUUGGGAAAGAAAAGCAGCAGGUUAAUACCCCGCUGUUCUGACGGUACCCAAAGAAUAAGCACCGGCUAACUUCGUG